AGCGAAUCCCAAAAAUAACGUCCCAGUUCGGACUGUAGUCUGCAACCCGACUACACGAAGCUGGAAUCGCUAGUAAUCGCGAAUCAGAACGUCGCGGUGAAUACGUUCCCGGGUCUUGUACACACCGCCCGUCACACCAUGGGAGUCGGGAAUGCCCGAAGCCGGUGACCCAACCGAAAGGAGGGAGCCGUCGAAGGCAGGUCCGAUAACUGGGGUGAAGUCGUAACAAGGUACC
RNAcentral lists this ribosomal RNA (235 nucleotides) under uncultured bacterium. RNAcentral describes it as "partial 16S ribosomal RNA". It matches the Rfam family "Bacterial small subunit ribosomal RNA", at positions 1266 to 1500 of the family's 1533-position model. The record is from RNAcentral.